AUUGAACGCUGGCGGCAUGCCAACACAUGCAAGUCGAACGAGUGGCGAACGGGUGAGUACUGCCUCGGAAGCUGCCCGGUAGUGGGGGAUACCUCCGGGAGAGGGGAGCUAAUACCGCAUACUAUAAGAUCGGCCUCGGUCGGAUUAGCUAGUUGGUGGGGUAACGGCUUACCAAGGCGACGAUCCGUAGCUGGUCUGAGAGGACGAUCAGCCACACUGGGACGGAGACACGGUCCAGACUCCUACGGGAGGCAGCAGUGGGGAAUUUUGGACAAUGGGGGAAAGCCUGAUCGAGCCACGCCGCGUGGGUGAAGAAGGUCUUCGGAUGGUAAAGCACUGUUGUUAGGGAAGCGGUACCUACAGAAAAAGCACCGGCUAACUACGUGCCAGCAGCCGCGGUAAUUC
RNAcentral lists this ribosomal RNA (405 nucleotides) under uncultured bacterium. Its description in RNAcentral is "partial 16S ribosomal RNA". It matches the Rfam family "Bacterial small subunit ribosomal RNA", at positions 30 to 526 of the family's 1533-position model. The record is from RNAcentral.